Molecule: long non-coding RNA, 270 nt
Filed under: Setaria viridis
Lineage: Eukaryota; Viridiplantae; Streptophyta; Magnoliopsida; Poales; Poaceae
Description: long non-coding RNA (SVIR_LNC006762)
Source: RNAcentral
GCUAGUAAAAUGCUACUCUAAAGGCCUUGCCAACUAUUGUGCACGAAGAUGCGUGGUUGCCACAGAUCUCUUUGUGUAUUUCCUCCAAUAUGUCCUUGCCAUCCUCUCAUUUGACACAUUUCAUGAGUACUCCUAAGGAUGCACCUCUUCUGUGUAGCUUGUCUCCAACGAGUACGUAGCCUUUGCAUCACAGUAAGACUUGUUCUGCUUGCGUUUUGUCUGAGGGUAGUUUGUGCUCUUUGAUAUAGUCAAUACAUGGUGUUCUCCAAU